AUUAUAUACCAGUUAUGGUUUGAAACUGCUGCCCAUAUCGUUAUAUUAUCUGAGUGAAGUGUCUUUGCACAUAUUUCUUCUGACUUUUUCCAAUCUAGAAAAUGCAUAUUUUGUUUGUUUUCAUGUUCAUUGAAGAGAAUGUGACAUUCAUCAGACCACCAUUAAUUGUCAAUAUAAUAUUGGUCAUCAUGAAGAUUUGUCAGCACUUGUGCACACAAUAUUGCAAGCCAGCAUGGAAAUCCUGAAGCCCCAACUCAUGAAUCACUUGAAUAUGAUAGGAAUGAAUGCCAAUACCAUACAAAGUAAACUGAUUCUUUCUAUAUAUAAUUCUUUUGCCAUAUAUUAUUUGCUUUUCUUUGGAGAUUGGAGAACUUUUUCCAACACUCAAUUGAUAUUGUUGUUUGUUCUAGUGCUUGUAGUCAUCAAAAUUGUCCUGCAUUAUGAUUUGUCACUGAACCAAUUGUUCUGAGCAUUUCCAUCCAAUUUAAUAUAGUUUUCUCUAAUGGUGCUGAUAACUGAAAAAACCAAAACCAUUGCAUACAUUUGCCAGGGAUGGUCCAUCAUUAUAUAUUAUAUCUUAGCUUCUGAAAUAAUAUUUCACACUUCAGGUGCAUUGUUCUAUGGUAUAUUGUGG
Molecule: long non-coding RNA, 634 nt
Filed under: Androctonus crassicauda
Lineage: Eukaryota; Metazoa; Arthropoda; Arachnida; Scorpiones; Buthidae
Source: RNAcentral